CCCCCGAUAGCAUAGUUGGUUUAAUGCGCUCGACUGUAAUGGAUAACAUUAAUCGAGAGAUCCGCGGCUCGACUCCGCGUCGGGGGA
This 87-nucleotide transfer RNA is filed under the name Aspergillus puulaauensis. Its description in RNAcentral is "tRNA-Tyr". The record is from RNAcentral. Lineage: Eukaryota; Fungi; Ascomycota; Eurotiomycetes; Eurotiales; Aspergillaceae.